AGGUACAAAAUUCAACCACGUUAAACAACUCCACAAAAAGCAAGAACUUAGUGGCGAGUGAAAUUUUACCUUCGGUUGGGGCGACCACGGAGGAGAAAAAAGCCUCCGAGUGGACUGGGCCAAAUCCCAAAGCCAAUAGAUACAUCUAUAAGCCACAGAACAUCUGACCAAUAAUGAUCCGGCUGAAAAGCCGAUCAACGAACCAAGUUACCCUAGGGAUAACAGCGCAAUCCUCUCCCAGAGUCCAUAUCGACGAGGGGGUUUACGACCUCGAUGUUGGAUCAGGACAUCCUAAUGGUGCAGCCGCUAUUAAG
RNAcentral lists this ribosomal RNA (314 nucleotides) under Notemigonus crysoleucas (golden shiner). Its description in RNAcentral is "partial 16S ribosomal RNA". It matches the Rfam family "Bacterial large subunit ribosomal RNA", at positions 2175 to 2569 of the family's 2925-position model. The record is from RNAcentral. Lineage: Eukaryota; Metazoa; Chordata; Actinopteri; Cypriniformes; Leuciscidae.